Molecule: small RNA, 126 nt
Filed under: Salmonella enterica subsp. enterica serovar Typhimurium
Lineage: Bacteria; Pseudomonadati; Pseudomonadota; Gammaproteobacteria; Enterobacterales; Enterobacteriaceae
Description: RtT sRNA
Rfam family: RtT RNA
About the family: This family represents a bacterial cis-regulatory element known as RtT RNA.
Source: RNAcentral
UUGCUAUCUGCGAUAUGGAAGAUUCGAACCUGCCGCAGGUUCGGGUCUCACGUAGUAAGACAACGGAGCCGCUUGCGGCGACGGCCCGAAGGGCGAGCAAAGCGAGUCAUCCUGCACGACCCACCA